RNAcentral lists this ribosomal RNA (253 nucleotides) under uncultured bacterium. RNAcentral's name for it is "partial 16S ribosomal RNA". It matches the Rfam family "Bacterial small subunit ribosomal RNA", at positions 524 to 776 of the family's 1533-position model. The record is from RNAcentral.
GACGAGUCUCACAAACGUUAUUCGGAAUUACUGGGCUUAAAGGGUGCGUAGGCGGUGGAGUAAGUCGGAUGUGAAAUACCAUAGCUUAACUAUGGAACUGCACUCGAUACUACUUUGCUAGGGUAAGACAGAGGUGAGUGGAACUGAGGGUGGAGCGGUGAAAUGCGUUGAUAUCCUCAGGAACACCGGUGGCGAAGGCGACUCACUGGGUCUUUACUGACGCUGAUGCACGAAAGCUAGGGUAGCAAACGGG